Molecule: ribosomal RNA, 429 nt
Filed under: Bacteroidota bacterium
Lineage: Bacteria; Pseudomonadati; Bacteroidota
Description: Bacteroidetes bacterium partial 16S ribosomal RNA
Rfam family: Bacterial small subunit ribosomal RNA
Source: RNAcentral
UAGGGAAUCUUCGGCAAUGGGGGGAACCCUGACCGAGCAACGCCGCGUGAGUGAAGAAGGUUUUCGGAUCGUAAAGCUCUGUUGUUAAGGAAGAACGAGUGUGAGAAUGGAAAGUUCAUACUGUGACGGUACUUAACCAGAAAGGGACGGCUAACUACGUGCCAGCAGCCGCGGUAAUACGUAGGUCCCGAGUGUUGUCCGGAUUUAUUGGGCGUAAAGCGAGCGCAGGCGGUUAGAUAAGUCUGAAGUUAAAGGCAGUGGCUCAACCAUUGUAGGCUUUGGAAACUGUUUAACUUGAGUGCAGAAGGGGAGAGUGGAAUUCCAUGUGUAGCGGUGAAAUGCGUAGAUAUAUGGAGGAACACCGGUGGCGAAAGCGGCUCUCUGGUCUGUAACUGACGCUGAGGCUCGAAAGCGUGGGGAGCGAACAGG